CCUACGGGAGGCAGCAGUGGGGAAUAUUGCACAAUGGGGGGAACUCUGAUGCAGCGACGCCGCGUGGGUGAAGGAGGAUUUCGGUAUGUAAAGCUCUAUCAGCAGGAAAGAAAAUGACGGUACCUGACUAAGAAGCCACGGCUAACUACGUGCAAGCAGCCGCGGUAAUACGUAGGGGGCAAGCGUUAUCCGGAUUUACUGGGUGUAAAGGGAGCGUAGACGGUUGUGCAAGUCCGGAGUGAAAGCCCGGGGCUCAACCCUGGGACUGCUCUGGAAACUGUAAAGCUGGAGUGCAGGAGGGGCAGGCGGAAUGCCUGGUGUAGCGGUGAAAUGCAUAGAUAUCAGAAGGAACACCGGCGGCGAAGGCGGCCUGCUAAACCGCAACUGACGUUGAGGCUCGAAAGCGUGGGGAGCAAACAGGAUUAGAUACCCGGGUAGUC
RNAcentral lists this ribosomal RNA (440 nucleotides) under uncultured bacterium. Its description in RNAcentral is "partial 16S ribosomal RNA". It matches the Rfam family "Bacterial small subunit ribosomal RNA", at positions 338 to 795 of the family's 1533-position model. The record is from RNAcentral.